RNAcentral lists this long non-coding RNA (325 nucleotides) under Elaeis guineensis (African oil palm). RNAcentral describes it as "long non-coding RNA (EGUI_LNC059234)". Lineage: Eukaryota; Viridiplantae; Streptophyta; Magnoliopsida; Arecales; Arecaceae. The record is from RNAcentral.
AAAUCUCAUCUAAUAUAUCGUAUAUGUAAUAGAUUAAAUUUCAAAUUUGAUCAUUACUUUAGAUCACAUCUAAAUCAGAUCAAAAGCAUCUUAUGCUUCACUAAAAUUAUAUUAGAAAUUAGAUUUUAAAUUAUAAAUCUCUUUAGAUCUUAUCUAAACAUAUUCAUGAUUUAGGUUUUUAGAUCAGCACGUACUUGGACAAUCUUUUCACUGUAACCCCUUACAGCAGGACAACCUUAUAACCAGUAUGUGCGAUCUAAAAUAAAUUAUUUUCAGAUCUUUUUGCAUAUAUCAUCAUGUCAAAAAGAACCUAUACCUUGAUACC